Molecule: ribosomal RNA, 660 nt
Filed under: uncultured bacterium
Lineage: Bacteria
Description: bacterial SSU rRNA
Rfam family: Bacterial small subunit ribosomal RNA
Source: RNAcentral
AGUGGCGGACGGGUGAGUAACGCGUGAGAAUCUGCCUUGGGGUCGGGGACAACCACUGGAAACGGUGGCUAAUACCGGAUAAGCCGAUUGGUGAAAGAUUUAUUGCCCGAAGAGGAGCUCGCGUCUGAUUAGCUAGUUGGUGAGGUAAGAGCUCACCAAGGCAGCGAUCAGUAGCUGGUCUGAGAGGACGAUCAGCCACACUGGGACUGAGACACGGCCCAGACUCCUACGGGGGGCAGCAGUGGGGAAUUUUCCGCAAUGGGCGAAAGCCUGACGGAGCAAGACCGCGUGAGGGAGGAAGGCUCUUGGGUUGUAAACCUCUUUUCUCAGGGAAGAAGCUCUGACGGUACCUGAGGAAUCAGCCUCGGCUAACUCCGUGCCAGCAGCCGCGGUAAUACGGAGGAGGCAAGCGUUAUCCGGAAUUAUUGGGCGUAAAGCGUCCGCAGGUGGCGAUUCAAGUCUGCUGUCAAAGCACGGGGCUUAACUCCGUAAAGGCAGUGGAAACUGAAUAGCUAGAGUGCCGUAGGGGUAGAGGGAAUUCCCGGUGUAGCGGUGAAAUGCGUAGAGAUCGGGAAGAACAUCGGUGGCGAAAGCGCUCUACUGGACGGCAACUGACACUCAGGGACGAAAGCUAGGGGAGCGAAUGGGAUUAGAUACCCC